CCUACGGGGGGCAGCAGUGAGGAAUAUUGGUCAAUGGGCUUACGCCUGAACCAGCCAAGUCGCGUGAGGGAAGACUGCCCUAUGGGUUGUAAACCUCUUUUGUCAGGGAGCAACGCCGGCUACGUGUAGCCGGACUGAGAGUACCUGAAGAAAAAGCAUCGGCUAACUCCGUGCCAGCAGCCGCGGUAAUACGGGGGAUGCGAGCGUUAUCCGGAUUUAUUGGGUUUAAAGGGUGCGUAGGCGGAAUGCCAAGUCAGCGGUAAAAUCGCGGGGCUAAACCUCGCUCCGCGGUUGAAACUGGCGUUCUUGAGUGGGCGAGAGGUGUGCGGAAUGCGAGGUGUAGCGGUGAAAUGCGUAGAGAUCACGAAGAACUCCGAUUGCGAAGGCAGCAUACCGGCGCCAGACUGACGCUGAAGCACGAAAGCGUGGGUAUCGAACAGGAUUAGAUACCCUUGUAGUC
RNAcentral lists this ribosomal RNA (460 nucleotides) under uncultured bacterium. Its description in RNAcentral is "partial 16S ribosomal RNA". It matches the Rfam family "Bacterial small subunit ribosomal RNA", at positions 338 to 795 of the family's 1533-position model. The record is from RNAcentral.